Molecule: long non-coding RNA, 518 nt
Filed under: Mustela putorius furo (domestic ferret)
Lineage: Eukaryota; Metazoa; Chordata; Mammalia; Carnivora; Mustelidae
Description: lncRNA (ENSMPUG00000026512.1)
Source: RNAcentral
CUCGGACUGGGUCAGGGAAGGGCGACGUCAGCGUGGCCACCAUCUCGGAACCCUGGUCGGGGCUGUGCCAACGGCUCAGGCCGAGGCACUGCGGCUUCAGCGUUUCUUUUCCUUUUCUUUCCCCUGACCCGCCUCGGGCUGCCAGUGAAUACUCCGGGGAGUGGCUCCCACCACACGCUGGCCCUGCCCGCGGGCUGUCCUGGGAGAUCCUGGAGCAGGGGGAGCCGACGUCGGAUCACGUGCGUGGACCUGAGGCGCGCCAGGUCUUUGUCUCUGGGCUGCCACGGGGGCCGGCCAGGGCUAAGGGCGGACGCGGGGUGCCUUGGACUGUCGCUAUUAGAACCAGCAGCGGGGAGAAAGUCCUUCCUACGGCCCGCGCCAACCUGCCCUGCGUUCCCCGGAUGGCCAUGACCACCCAAGCUCAGGGACAUAGUUUGAGACAGCGACUGGAUAAAGCUUUCAGAGUCACAGAGGUAAUAGCUGCAUACUUUAGAUACUUUUCUGUGCAGUUUGUAUAA